UAAAUUAAUUGUUAGGUGAGGCUCCUAUACGGACACAGGCUACUGCCCAAAAAUGUCGAGAGACGCCAAUGGGUAUAACAGGGAUUAUCGUGAAGGUGAUUCAUAACGUAGCUGACAGAUUCUGUCUACGCCCUAUAGUGCUAAAGCUCGACGAUGAACAUGAAUG
Molecule: non-coding RNA, 166 nt
Organism: Enterococcus avium ATCC 14025
Lineage: Bacteria; Bacillati; Bacillota; Bacilli; Lactobacillales; Enterococcaceae
Source: Rfam